Molecule: ribosomal RNA, 1564 nt
Filed under: Buchnera aphidicola (Sarucallis kahawaluokalani)
Lineage: Bacteria; Pseudomonadati; Pseudomonadota; Gammaproteobacteria; Enterobacterales; Erwiniaceae
Description: bacterial SSU rRNA
Rfam family: Bacterial small subunit ribosomal RNA
Source: RNAcentral
UUAAUUGAAGAGUUUGAUCAUGGCUCAGAUUGAACGCUGGCGGCAAGCCUAACACAUGCAAGUCGAGCGGCAGCGAAAAAAAGUUUACUUUUUUGUCGGCGAGCGGCAAACGGGUGAGUAAUAUCUGGGGAUCUGCCUAAAAGAGGGGGAUAACUAUUGGAAACGAUAGCUAAUACCGCAUAAUGUUGAGAAACCAAAGUAGGGGAUUUAUUCUCUUUAUAAACCUUACACUUUUAGAUGAACCCAGAUGAGAUUAGCUUGAUGGUAGGGUAACGGCCUACCAAGGCGAUGAUCUCUAGCUGGUCUGAGAGGACAACCAGCCACACUGGAACUGAGACACGGUCCAGACUCCUACGGGAGGCAGCAGUGGGGAAUCUUGCACAAUGGGCGAAAGCCUGAUGCAGCUAUGCCGCGUGUAUGAAGAAGGCCUUCGGGUUGUAAAGUACUUUCGUCAGGGAAGAAAAGAAGAUAGCUAAUAACUAUCUUCCAUGACGUUACCUGAAAAAGAAGCACCGGCUAACUCCGUGCCAGCAGCCGCGGUAAUACGGGGGGUGCAAGCGUUAAUCGGAAUUACUGGGCGUAAAGAGCACGUAGGUGGACUAUUAAGUUAGAUGUGAAAUACCUGAGCUUAACUUAGGAACUGCAUUUAAAACUAAUAAUCUAGAGUUUCGUAGAGGGAGGUAGAAUUCCAGGUGUAGCGGUGAAAUGCGUAGAUAUCUGGAGGAAUACCUGUGGCGAAAGCGACCUCCUAGACGAUAACUGACGCUGAGGUGCGAAAGCGUGGGUAGCAAACAGGAUUAGAUACCCUGGUAGUCCACGCUGUAAACGAUGUCAACUUGGAGGUUGUUUCCAUUGAGAGAUGGCUUCCGAAGCUAACGCAUUAAGUUGACCGCCUGGGAAGUACGGUCGCAAGGCUAAAACUCAAAUGAAUUGACGGGGGCCCGCACAAGCGGUGGAGCAUGUGGUUUAAUUCGAUGCAACGCGAAAAACCUUACCUGGUCUUGACAUCCAUAGAAUUUCUUAGAAAUAAGAAAGUGCCCUUUGGGAACUAUGAGACAGGUGCUGCAUGGCUGUCGUCAGCUCGUGUUGUGAAAUGUUGGGUUAAGUCCCGCAACGAGCGCAACCCUUAUCCUUUUUUGCCAUCGGUUCGGCCGGGAACUCAAAGGAGACUGCCAGUUAUAAAUUGGAGGAAGGUGGGGACGACGUCAAGUCAUCAUGGCCCUUACGACCAGGGCUACACACGUGCUACAAUGGUACAUACAAAGAGAAGCAACUCUGUAAAGACAAGCAAAUCUCAUAAAGUGUAUCUUAGUCCGGACUGGAGUCUGCAACUCGACUCCACGAAGUCGGAAUCGCUAGUAAUCGUGAAUCAGAAUGUCACGGUGAAUACGUUCCCGGGCCUUGUACACACCGCCCGUCACACCAUGGAAGUGAAUUGCAAAAGAAGCAAGUAGUUUAACCGUUUUACGGAGAACGCUUACCACUUUGUGGUUCAUAACUGGGGUGAAGUCGUAACAAGGUAACUGUAGGGGAACCUGCGGUUGGAUCACCUCCUUACAUUAAA